RNAcentral lists this transfer RNA (72 nucleotides) under Capsicum annuum. It matches the Rfam family "tRNA". From Rfam's summary of the family: Transfer RNA (tRNA) molecules are approximately 80 nucleotides in length. Their secondary structure includes four short double-helical elements and three loops (D, anti-codon, and T loops). Further hydrogen bonds mediate the characteristic L-shaped molecular structure. tRNAs have two regions of fundamental functional importance: the anti-codon, which is responsible for specific mRNA codon recognition, and the 3' end, to which the tRNAs corresponding amino acid is attached (by aminoacyl-tRNA synthetases). tRNAs cope with the degeneracy of the genetic code in two manners: having more than one tRNA (with a specific anti-codon) for a particular amino acid; and 'wobble' base-pairing, i.e. permitting non-standard base-pairing at the 3rd anti-codon position. Lineage: Eukaryota; Viridiplantae; Streptophyta; Magnoliopsida; Solanales; Solanaceae. The record is from Rfam by way of RNAcentral.
UCCUAAAUAGUUCAGUGAUAGAGUGGUCGGCUGUUAAUCGAUUGGUCAUAGUUUUAAAUCCUACUUGAGGGA